AGAACGAACGCUGGCGGCAUGCCUAACACAUGCAAGUCGAACGAUCUCUUCGGAGAUAGUGGCGCACGGGUGCGUAACGCGUGGGAAUCUGCCCUUGGGUUCGGAAUAACAGUUGGAAACGACUGCUAAUACCGGAUGAUGACGUUAAGUCCAAAGAUUUAUCGCCCAGGGAUGAGCCCGCGUAGGAUUAGCUAGUUGGUGAGGUAAAGGCUCACCAAGGCGACGAUCCUUAGCUGGUCUGAGAGGAUGAUCAGCCACACUGGGACUGAGACACGGCCCAGACUCCGUACGGGAGCAGCGAGUGGGGAAUAGUUGGACAAGUGGGACGAAAGCCUAGAUCCAGCAAUGCCGCGUGAGUGAGUGAAGGCGUUAGGGUUAGGUAAGUACGUUCGUUUACCGGUAGUGUAUAAUAGACGA
RNAcentral lists this ribosomal RNA (417 nucleotides) under uncultured soil bacterium. RNAcentral's name for it is "bacterial SSU rRNA". It matches the Rfam family "Bacterial small subunit ribosomal RNA", at positions 26 to 463 of the family's 1533-position model. The record is from RNAcentral.